RNAcentral lists this transfer RNA (92 nucleotides) under Bradyrhizobium liaoningense. RNAcentral describes it as "tRNA-Leu". Lineage: Bacteria; Pseudomonadati; Pseudomonadota; Alphaproteobacteria; Hyphomicrobiales; Nitrobacteraceae. The record is from RNAcentral.
AGCUUGCGGAGCGGUAUGGCCGCUUCGGCGCCGAGAGCGCCGACGAAAAGUUCGAGCUCUUGCGCUGGCUGUUCUGGGACAACCACAAGCUC